AGAGUUUGAUCCUGGCUCAGAGUGAACGCUGGCGGCAGGCCUAACACAUGCAAGUCGAGCGGCAGCGCGGGGCAACCUGGCGGCGAGCGGCGGACGGGUGAGGAAUGCAUCGGAAUCUACCCUGUCGUGGGGGAUAACGUAGGGAAACUUACGCUAAUACCGCAUACGACCGAGAGGUGAAAGUGGGGGACCGCAAGGCCUCACGCGAUUGGAUGAGCCGAUGCCGGAUUAGCUAGUUGGUGGGGUAAAGGCCCACCAAGGCGACGAUCCGUAGCUGGUCUGAGAGGAUGAUCAGCCACAUUGGGACUGAGACACGGCCCAAACUCCUACGGGAGGCAGCAGUGGGGAAUAUUGGACAAUGGGCGCAAGCCUGAUCCAGCCAUGCCGCGUGUGUGAAGAAGGCCUUCGGGUUGUAAAGCACUUUUGUUCGGGAAGAAAUCGUGCGGAUUAAUACUUCGUACGGAUGACGGUACCGAAAGAAUAAGCACCGGCUAACUUCGUGCCAGCAGCCGCGGUAAUACGAAGGGUGCAAGCGUUACUCGGAAUCACUGGGCGUAAAGCGUGCGUAGGCGGUUCGUUAAGUCUGCUGUGAAAGCCCUGGGCUCAACCUGGGAACUGCAGUGGAUACUGGCGGACUAGAGUGUGAUAGAGGAUGGUGGAAUUCCCGGUGUAGCGGUGAAAUGCGUAGAGAUCGGGAGGAACACCAGUGGCGAAGGCGGCCAUCUGGAUCAACACUGACGCUGAGGCACGAAAGCGUGGGGAGCAAACAGGAUUAGAUACCCUGGUAGUCCACGCCCUAAACGAUGCGAACUGGACGUUGGUUGCAACUUGGCAAUCAGUGUCGAAGCUAACGCGUUAAGUUCGCCGCCUGGGGAGUACGGUCGCAAGACUGAAACUCAAAGGAAUUGACGGGGGCCCGCACAAGCGGUGGAGUAUGUGGUUUAAUUCGAUGCAACGCGAAGAACCUUACCUGGCCUUGACAUCCAGUGAACUUUCCAGAGAUGGAUUGGUGCCUUCGGGAACACUGAGACAGGUGCUGCAUGGCUGUCGUCAGCUCGUGUCGUGAGAUGUUGGGUUAAGUCCCGCAACGAGCGCAACCCUUGUCCUUAGUUGCCAGCACGUAAUGGUGGGAACUCUAAGGAGACUGCCGGUGACAAACCGGAGGAAGGUGGGGAUGACGUCAAGUCAUCAUGGCCCUUACGGCCAGGGCUACACACGUACUACAAUGGUCGGUACAGAGGGUUGCAAUGCCGCGAGGUGGAGCCAAUCCCAGAAAACCGAUCCCAGUCCGGAUCGGAGUCUGCAACUCGACUCCGUGAAGUCGGAAUCGCUAGUAAUCGCGGAUCAGCUAUGCCGCGGUGAAUACGUUCCCGGGCCUUGUACACACCGCCCGUCACACCAUGGGAGUUGGUUGCUCCAGAAGUAGGUAGUCUAACCGCAAGGAGGACGCUUACCACGGAGUAGUCAAUGACUGGGGUGAAGUCGUAACAAGGUA
RNAcentral lists this ribosomal RNA (1495 nucleotides) under metagenome. RNAcentral describes it as "bacterial SSU rRNA". It matches the Rfam family "Bacterial small subunit ribosomal RNA". The record is from RNAcentral.